Molecule: ribosomal RNA, 497 nt
Filed under: uncultured bacterium
Lineage: Bacteria
Description: partial 16S ribosomal RNA
Rfam family: Bacterial small subunit ribosomal RNA
Source: RNAcentral
GAUGAACGCUGGCGGCGUGCCUAACACAUGCAAGUCGAGCGAACAGAUGAUGAGCUUGCUCCUCUGACGUUAGCGGCGGACGGGUGAGUAAGACGUUGAGAACCGACCUAUAAGACUGGGAUAACUUCGGGAGACUGGAGCUAGUACGGGAUAAUAUAUUGAACCGCAUGGUUCAAUAGUGAUAGAGGGUUUGGCUGUCACUGAGAGAUAGAUCCGUGCCGCAUUAGUUAGUUGGUAAGGUAACGGCUUACCAAGGCAACGAUGCGUAGCCGACCUGAGAGGGUGAUAGGCCACACUGGAACUGAGACACGGUCCAGACGCCUACGGGAGGCAGCAGUAGGGAAUCUUCCGCAAUGGGCGAAAGCCUGACGGAGCAACGCCGCGUGAGUGAUGAAGGUCUUCGGAUCGUAAAACUCUGUUAUUAGGGAAGAACAAAUGUGUAAGUAACUAUGCACGUCUUGACGGUACCUAAUCAGAAAGCCCCGGCUAACUACGUG